AGAUGUGAGGAUGAUCUGGCUGCGACAUCUGUCACCCCACUGAUCGCCAGGGUUGAUUUGGCUGAUCUGGCUGACUAAGAGGGUGUCCCCUUCCUCCCUCACCGCUCCAUGUGCGUCCCUCCCAAAGCUGCGUGCUUGGUUGAAGAGGACGGCCUUCCCCGAAUAGAGACAGACCGGCCUUCGGUCUAGGUUAUAGGAGUAGCUGUGCUCCCCUGCUAGAACCUCCAAACAAGCUCUCAAGGUUUUAGAUGACCCUCCCUAGAAUUCAUGGCUUUCAUGGUUUCCUCUUCAGUCUGUUGCACCGAAGCCUUGCUAGAGGAGGGCGGUUCUCCACCCU
Molecule: non-coding RNA, 337 nt
Organism: Erinaceus europaeus (western European hedgehog)
Lineage: Eukaryota; Metazoa; Chordata; Mammalia; Eulipotyphla; Erinaceidae
Source: Rfam